AGCUCCAAGAGCGUAUAUUAAAGUUGUUGCAGUUAAAAAGCUCGUAGUUGAACCUUGGGGCCGUCGGGCCGGUCCACUUUUUGUGAGCACUGGACACGUCGGCCCUUUCCUCCGCCUUCUUUUUGAGGGCGGACGUAUUACUUUGAGUAAAUGAGAGUGUUCAAAGCAGGCGCACGCUUGAAUCUGUUAGCAUGGAAUAAUAGAAUAGGACGUAUGGUUCUAUUUUGUUGGUUUCUAGGACCAUCGUAAUGAUUAAUAGGGACGGUCGGGGGCAUCAGUAUUCAGUUGUCAGAGGUGAAAUUCUUAGAUUUACUGAAGACUAACUACUGCGAAAGCAUUUGCCAAGGACGUUUUCA
This 356-nucleotide ribosomal RNA is filed under the name uncultured eukaryote. Its description in RNAcentral is "SSU rRNA". It matches the Rfam family "Eukaryotic small subunit ribosomal RNA", at positions 587 to 972 of the family's 1831-position model. The record is from RNAcentral.